GUUAAUAAAGGAGUUUUACAGAAAUGGAGUCUAUGAAAAUGAAGUCCUCACAAUGAGAGUCAAAGACGUGGAAAUCAAGCUAAAGGCUGAGAACAUCAACCUAGCCCUAGGUUUCAAAUCCGAAGGUUUUUGGUUCUUAGAUGGCAUCGAUUUCCAUGUAGGACUUAAGAAGAUGCAUCACAAGAAAUCCCCCACUGUCAGAGGAUAUAAGAAGAAGGAGUUUCCUCAGAG
This 231-nucleotide long non-coding RNA is filed under the name Panax ginseng (ginseng). RNAcentral's name for it is "long non-coding RNA (PGIN_LNC016914)". Lineage: Eukaryota; Viridiplantae; Streptophyta; Magnoliopsida; Apiales; Araliaceae. The record is from RNAcentral.